GGACCGGUUAACCCUUCGGGGUGAAGCUGAGAAUUUAAGCGCCAGUAAACGGCGGUGGUAACUAUAACCAUCCUAAGGUAGCGAAAUUCCUUGUCGGGUAAGUUCCGACCUGCACGAAUGGCGUAACGACUUUCCGGCUGUCUCAACCACAGGCCCGGCGAAAUUGCACUACGAGUAAAGAUGCUCGUUACGCGCGGCAGGACGGAAAGACCCCGGGACCUUUACUAUAGUUUGGUAUUGGUUUUCGGUUCGGCUUGUGUAGGAUAGGUGGGAGACUGUGAAGCUGGCACGCUAGUGUUGGUGGAGUCGUUGUUGAAAUACCACUCUGGUCGGAUUGGGAAUCUGAACCUCGGACCAUGAUCUGGUUCAGGGACAGUGCCUGAUGGGUAGUUUAACUGGGGCGGUUGCCUCCUAAAGAGUAACGGAGGCGCCCAAAGGUUCCCUCAGCCUGGUUGGCAAUCAGGUGUUGAGUGCAAGUGCACAAGGGAGCUUGACUGUGAGACAGACAUGUCGAGCAGGGACGAAAGUCGGGACUAGUGAUCCGGCACCACCUGGUGGAAGGGGUGUCGCUCAACGGAUAAAAGGUACCCCGGGGAUAACAGGCUGAUCUUGCCCAAGAGUCCAUAUCGACGGCAUGGUUUGGCACCUCGAUGUCGGCUCGUCGCAUCCUGGGGCCGGAGUAGGUCCCAAGGGUUGGGCUGUUCGCCCAUUAAAGCGGCACGCGAGCUGGGUUUAGAACGUCGUGAGACAGUUCGGUCCCUAUCCGCCGCGCGCGUAGGAUACUUGAGGAAGGCUGUCCCUAGUACGAGAGGACCGGGACGGACGAACCUCUGGUAUGCCAGUUGUCACGCCAGUGGCAUGGCUGGUUGGCCACGUUCGGAAGGGAUAACCGCUGAAGGCAUCUAAGCGGGAAGCCUGUUCCAAGAUGAGGUAUCCCACCCCAUGUGGGUUAAGGCCCCCAACAGACCAUUGGGUUGAUAGGCCAGAAAUGGAAGCACAGUAAUGUGUUGUCGAGUUGACUGGUACUAAUAGGCCGAGGACUUGCCCA
This 1048-nucleotide ribosomal RNA is filed under the name Amycolatopsis keratiniphila. Its description in RNAcentral is "bacterial LSU rRNA". It matches the Rfam family "Bacterial large subunit ribosomal RNA", at positions 1883 to 2925 of the family's 2925-position model. Lineage: Bacteria; Bacillati; Actinomycetota; Actinomycetes; Pseudonocardiales; Pseudonocardiaceae. The record is from RNAcentral.